CCCUUAGACGUUCUGGGCCGCACGCGCGCUACACUGACCAGUGCAACAAGCAUCCGUCCUUGGCCGACAGGCUCGGGCAAUCUUUGAACGCUGGUCGUGAUGGGGAUAGACCUUUGCAAUUUUUGGUCUUCAACGAGGAAUUCCUAGUAAACGCAAGUCAUCAACUUGCAUUGAUUACGUCCCUGCCCUUUGUACACACCGCCCGUCGCACCUACCGAUUGAAUGGUCCGGUGAAGCCUCCGGAUUGGCGCGCACCUCGGUGCCGCCGAGAAGUUGGCUAAACCUUACCAUUUAGAGGAAGGUGAAGUCGUAACA
Molecule: ribosomal RNA, 315 nt
Filed under: uncultured eukaryote
Lineage: Eukaryota
Description: partial 18S ribosomal RNA
Rfam family: Eukaryotic small subunit ribosomal RNA
Source: RNAcentral